Molecule: long non-coding RNA, 862 nt
Organism: Cygnus atratus (black swan)
Lineage: Eukaryota; Metazoa; Chordata; Aves; Anseriformes; Anatidae
Exons: 4
Source: RefSeq, a predicted model, not a curated record
CGACCCGCCGGUGCGCCCCCGCUGCUGGCCGGGAGCAGCCGGCGCGACCCCCCCGGGGCGAAAGGGGGAGAAGGAGGAAAGUUGCCGGCUGUGGCCGCCCCGUCCCUGCCUUCCCAUGGGCGAGCCGUUGCCCCCCGCUUCCCUUCCCUCGCGGGGUCCCGGUGCCGCCUACCUGGGGGCUGCGCUCCGCCGGGUUCUUCAUCACCGCCUGGCGGAAGCUGUUAUCCACGAAGAAACCAUCUAGUACCUGGAAUAAAACAGCAUUAAAAUCUAAUUUUUCCUUGUCCCAGGAAAGCAUAUUCCAGAUAGACCGACACUGAGGAAACUUGGAGAGAUUCCUGUUUCCACCUCCAGCUAACUCUGUGAAAAUACAUAGUGAUAAAUCCAAGUAUGAAAUUCAUCUACAGCAAGAAAUCCUUGAUUAACAUGAAAACAGUGACAUGAAGGAACUGGCAAAAAUAAGCACCACUGCACAGCAGCAAGCUGUGAUAAAUCUUCCUACUUCUGUAACAACUGGUUUGUGCCCAGAACAUCCACCAGCAGUCUCUUAUACCAUUGCUGCAAGAAUAUGGGAACAUCCUUCUGGCUUCCAGAACAAGUUUACAGAAAAUAAAAAUAGAAAAUUGCCCCUCUCUUUGUUGCUACAGUUAGAGGAAGUUGUCAACGGGAGGUCUGCAGCCAAGCAAGUUUAUCUUGUAAGUGUGUUUGCUAAGUCAGGAAUAGAAACUGAAAUGUGGGAAGCAAUUGUACAGAAAGAGGUAGUAGGGAUGGAGAUUACCAUCUUGUGGGAAACCAAGUGACUCUUUGGAAGACAUUCAUUUCAAAAGACACGUGAACCCUUAAAGAUUUUGUCACAGGGAAG